GCUUCCGUGGCCUAAUGGUUAGGGCGUGUGACUACGAAUCAUAAGAUUGCGGGUUCGAAUCCCGCCGGAGGCU
Zophobas morio is the source of this 73-nucleotide non-coding RNA. The record is from the annotation of a RefSeq genome assembly. Lineage: Eukaryota; Metazoa; Arthropoda; Insecta; Coleoptera; Tenebrionidae.